AGCAUCGCGUCCGGCGCUAGAAGUCCACGUCCACGGAAGGAUGCCGCUGCUGGAGGCCAGCCCUUGGAGCCAGUCGGGGGAAGCGGCAUGGAGGGGAGGGCUGCUGAGCCUUGGGACCUGGAGUUCGGGAUUCCGGGGGCGGCCGGAUGUGGACUGCACUUGAGGACGGCUCGCUGCAGUCUCGCCAAGCCGACUGCGGAUCUGCCAUCCGCCAGAAGCUCAGAAAGCUCCUGGCAUUGUGCCCCUUGCCAACCCUGGUCUGCCCCUGAUAUCACAGAACCACUAAAUCUGACUUCAGGUUUGAAACGAAUGGAGGGUGUGCAGACCCUCAGCAGUUCUCAGACCCAGGCUGUCCUCAGACCCAGGCAGAAGGGAAUGCAGGGUCUGGCCAAGGAGGAUGGGAUUCUGGACUCAGAUUCCAGGAACGCCUUGAGGCUUUUGGAAGGGGUUGAAGGUGGCCUGCUAGCUUUCUUACAGACAACUCUGAUCACAUCUGUCCACCCAGAAGAAUGCACACCCCUUUUUCAGUCUUCCUAAGGGAGUUUUGAGGGAUUAUUCCUGAUUCGGCUGCCACAGGUGGGGGAGAGGGAGGUAUGAAUUAAAAGGCCACAUCACUAAUGCCUGUCCCUGCAGUGUUUUGGAGUGCUGUGUGUGUGUGUGUAGGAGGAAAGUUUCAGAACCGCUAGGGAUUCAUUCACAUCUAGGGAUAUUGUCCUGCUCAAAUCUGGCCAUCUCUUGUUCUCAGAAUUGUGUGAGUCAUGGUCCCUGUUUUUCUGGUGGCCUGUUUCAAUGAUGCAGAAAAGGAGACACCUUCCAGGACCCAAAGAACCCCAGUUCCUCAGUAUUAGCCCUAGGCCUCUCUCCUCUGGGACCUGGGCAUCAAGCCCCAAGGGGUAGGGAGAGAAAGUGUAGGAGGAAGCAAGUGAAGUGUGCAACUCCGGAACUACAUUUCCCAUAGAGCCAUCGGACUGGCCGGGCGAGACCCCAGGGCCUCCUGGGAGUCGUAGUCCUAGGGCUAGAAAGGGCCCCUUUCUUCAUUUUCGUGGCUCCACGCCAGGUUUGCAAAAGGCCAAGUGCACCUAGCCGGAAGCCUGGGUCCGGGGGCUCAGGGAGGGGAGGAAGCUGAAAGCCAGAAGUCCUUUCCUUGGUUUUAGAAGCCGGAGGGGACAAGAUACUUUCCUUUCGGGUAGGCGCGGGGAAAAUUCUAGUUUGAAAAGGCGGCCGCCUCUGUGAUAUCAUGGAACGAUAGGCGGAGUCUCCCUUUGUUGCGGUCUUCUCAGACUCCGCGUUGGGCUUGUGGGCGGGGCCGAGAAAACUCCCUGGGAGUAUCUUUUGGGGAAUUGGGCCCAUGUGAGAAGCUAGAAAGGGGAAGCUGUGGAAAUUCCUCGUAGACCGGGGCGAACCGUGACCGUGACUCCAGUCAAAAAGCUCUCCAAAUCACGGGACCGACCUCACCCUCGCCCCCAAACAAAAUCCUUAAUUUUAGUCGUGGGAAAAUAGCAGAGUGGAACGACGUGGCCUGCUCAUCCUGCCUAAA
RNAcentral lists this long non-coding RNA (1537 nucleotides) under Neogale vison (American mink). RNAcentral describes it as "Neovison vison (American mink) lncRNA (ENSNVIG00000012324.1)". Lineage: Eukaryota; Metazoa; Chordata; Mammalia; Carnivora; Mustelidae. The record is from RNAcentral.